GACGAACGCUGGCGGCGUGCUUAACACAUGCAAGUGGAGCGACGAACCAGGGCUUGCCCUGGGGCAAAGCCGCGAACGGGUGAGUAACACGUGGGUACCCUGCCCCGAAGACCGGGACAACCCGAGGAAACUCGGGCUAAUACCGGAUGUGGUCACUCUUCAUAAGGAGAGUGAGCAAAGGAAGCCUCGGCCUCCGCUUCGGGAUGGGCCCGCGGCCCAUUAGCUUGUUGGUGAGGUAACGGCUCACCAAGGCUUCGAUGGGUAGCUGGUCUGAGAGGACGAUCAGCCACACUGGGACUGAGACACGGCCCAGACUCCUACGGGAGGCAGCAGUGGGGAAUCUUGCGCAAUGGGCGACAGCCUGACGCAGCAACGCCGCGUGAGGGAAGAAGGCUUUCGGGUCGUAAACCUCUUUCAGGAGGGACGAAGCUUCGGGAGUGAAUAGCUUUCCGGAGUGACGGUACUUCCACAAGAAGCCCCGGCUAACUACGUGCCAGCCGCCGCCGUAA
Molecule: ribosomal RNA, 509 nt
Filed under: uncultured bacterium
Lineage: Bacteria
Description: partial 16S ribosomal RNA
Rfam family: Bacterial small subunit ribosomal RNA
Source: RNAcentral